CUUGUGGCGGCUGUGAACAGUAUCUCUUUACAAUGUGGAUUCAUUGAACCUCUGAACAAACAGCUGCAUAUUUACACAGACAGCAGAUGUGGAGCGACAUUAGCAUUCAUUCUGAGUAGUUGUUGUGUGUGCCUGAUGAUUAAUUCCUGAUGCUCUUAUCCGGGGCAUCUUCAAACGAAUGAGCAGGAAAGACUCUGAGUGACUCGCUCAAGGACAUGCAGACUGUGCAGCCACCUUAAUAUUCUGGUCAACACUGAGUGAUCAUAUCACUUGCAGGGCGAAGAGGAACUUGUUUCGUCUUGUUGGCAGAUUAACAGUGAGCAGUCGGUUCUUCCAUCCUGACAAGAUUGUGGAGCAGGAUUAAAUCCUGCAGAGUCCAGGACUCCUGCCAGUCAGUCAGGGUUCGGGUUUGUUUGCGGCUGGCCUGGUUGGACUCGGCCUCAAUGAGCUGAGCUGAAACGGGAGGCCAACAGGUCGUGAGUAACUCGUGGCAU
Long non-coding RNA from Acanthopagrus latus (yellowfin seabream), 494 nucleotides. RefSeq lists it as uncharacterized. The record is from RefSeq and is a predicted model, not a curated record. The transcript is spliced from 3 exons. NCBI's taxonomy places the organism in Eukaryota, Metazoa, Chordata, Actinopteri, Spariformes, Sparidae.